Molecule: unclassified non-coding RNA, 339 nt
Filed under: soil metagenome
Description: partial contains 5.8S ribosomal RNA, internal transcribed spacer 2, and large subunit ribosomal RNA
Rfam family: 5.8S ribosomal RNA (bases 1-120)
Source: RNAcentral
GAUGAAGAACGUAGCGAAAUGCGAUAACUAAUGUGAAUUGUAGAAUUCAGUGAAUCAUCGAGUCUUUGAACGCACAUUGCGCCCCCUGGUAUUCCGGGGGGCAUGCCUGUCCGAGCGUCAUUGCUGCCCUCAAGCACGGCUUGUGUGUUGGGCUCCGUCCCCCCGGGGACGGGCCCGAAAGGCAGCGGCGGCACCGAGUCCGGUCCUCGAGCGUAUGGGGCUUUGUCACCCGCUCUGUAGGCCCGGCCGGCGCCAGCCGACAACCCAUCAUCCUUUUCAGGUUGACCUCGGAUCAGGUAGGGAUACCCGCUGAACUUAAGCAUAUCAAUAAGCGGAGGA